Molecule: transfer RNA, 70 nt
Filed under: Loxodonta africana (African savanna elephant)
Lineage: Eukaryota; Metazoa; Chordata; Mammalia; Proboscidea; Elephantidae
Rfam family: tRNA
About the family: Transfer RNA (tRNA) molecules are approximately 80 nucleotides in length. Their secondary structure includes four short double-helical elements and three loops (D, anti-codon, and T loops).
Source: Rfam by way of RNAcentral
GCAGUGGUGGUUUAGUGGUAGAAUUCCUGCCUACCAUACAGGAGACCUCGGUUCGAUUCUUAGCCGUGCA